Long non-coding RNA from Capra hircus (goat), 122 nucleotides. RefSeq lists it as uncharacterized. The record is from RefSeq and is a predicted model, not a curated record. The transcript has 3 exons. Lineage: Eukaryota; Metazoa; Chordata; Mammalia; Artiodactyla; Bovidae.
CUGAGACCACAGCAGGAUGUGCCUUGGUCAAAGGCUUGGACUCUUGGAUCAUCUGGUGACUUCAGAAUUCUGGUCUCAGGGUGGUGAACUUUCUCUUUGAAUUCCUAACCUGUCAGCCUGUG